AGUGGCGGACGGGUGAGUAAUGCAUAGGAAUCUGCCUUGUAGUGGGGGAUAACGUGGGGAAACUCACGCUAAUACCGCAUACGACCUACGGGUGAAAGGGGGGGCUCUUCGGACCUCUCGCUAUAAGAUGAGCCUAUGUUGGAUUAGCUAGUUGGUAGGGUAAAGGCCUACCAAGGCGACGAUCCAUAGCUGGUCUGAGAGGAUGAUCAGCCACACUAGGACUGAGACACGGCCCAGACUCCUACGGGAGGCAGCAGUGGGGAAUAUUGGACAAUGGGCGGAAGCCUGAUCCAGCAAUACCGCGUGUGUGAAGAAGGCCUGAGGGCUGUAAAGCACUUUCAAUGGGAAGGAAUACCUAACGGCGAAUACCCGUUAGACUGACAUUACCCAUACAAGAAGCACCGGCUAACUCCGUGCCAGCAGCCGCGGUAAUACGGAGGGUGCAAGCGUUAAUCGGAAUUACUGGGCGUAAAGCGUGCGUAGGCGGUUCGUUAAGUCAGAUGUGAAAGCCCUGGGCUCAACCUGGGAACUGCAUUUGAUACUGGCGAACUAGAGUUGAGUAGAGGAGAGUGGAAUUUCAGGUGUAGCGGUGAAAUGCGUAGAGAUCUGAAGGAACACCAGUGGCGAAGGCGGCUCUCUGGACUCAAACUGACGCUGAGGUACGAAAGCGUGGGUAGCAAACAGGAUUAGAUACCCUGGUAGUCCACGCCGUAAACGAUGUCAACUAACCGUUGGGUUCUUAAAGAACUUAGUGGUGGAGCUAACGUAUUAAGUUGACCGCCUGGGAGUACGGCCGCAAGGCUAAACUCAAAUGAAUUGACGGGGGCCCGCACAAGCGGUGGAGCAUGUGGUUUAAUUCGAUGCAACGCGAAGAACCUUACCUACCCUUGACAU
Molecule: ribosomal RNA, 894 nt
Filed under: uncultured Gammaproteobacteria bacterium
Lineage: Bacteria; Pseudomonadati; Pseudomonadota; Gammaproteobacteria
Description: bacterial SSU rRNA
Rfam family: Bacterial small subunit ribosomal RNA
Source: RNAcentral